Molecule: ribosomal RNA, 301 nt
Filed under: uncultured bacterium
Lineage: Bacteria
Description: partial 16S ribosomal RNA
Rfam family: Bacterial small subunit ribosomal RNA
Source: RNAcentral
CAGCCGCCACGGUAAUACAGAGGGUGCGAGCGUUAAUCGGAUUUACUGGGCGUAAAGCGUGCGUAGGCGGCUUCUUAAGUCGGAUGUGAAAUCCCUGAGCUUAACUUAGGAAUUGCAUUCGAUACUGGGAAGCUAGAGUAUGGGAGAGGAUGGUAGAAUUCCAGGUGUAGCGGUGAAAUGCGUAGAGAUCUGGAGGAAUACCGAUGGCGAAGGCAGCCAUCUGGCCUAAUACUGACGCUGAGGUACGAAAGCAUGGGGAGCAAACAGGAUUAGAUACCCUGUAGUCCCUGUCUCUUAUACA